AUGGUCGCCCCGCUCUCCCUCCUCGCCGCCCUCCUCGCCGUCGUCCAUGUCCACGGCGCCGACGCUCUCUCAGGGUACCAGAUAAACUGCGGCGCGGGCGGCGAGCGCGUGGUCGGCAACGUGACAUGGGUCCCGGACGGGCCGUUCGUGCGCGUCGGCAGCGCCGCCGCCGUCCCGUCCCCGCCGGGCGGCGGCGGGAUGCCGCCGAUGCUCUCCUCGCUCCGCUACUUCCCGGACGCGUCGGCCAGGAAGCACUGCUACGUGCUCCCCGCGGCGAGGAAGGCCACGUACCUGGUCCGCACCACGUACUACUACGGCGGGUUCGACGGCGGUGACAAGCCGCCAGUGUUCGACCAGAUCAUCGAGGGCACGCGGUGGAGCGAGGUGGACACGGCGGCCGACUACGCCCGCGGCCGCGCCACCUACUUCGAGGCCGUCGUGCGCGCCACCGGCCGGCAGGUCAGCGUGUGCGUGGCGAGGAACGCGGGCACCGCGCCCACGUCCAGCCCCUUCAUCUCCGCGCUCGAGGUGGUGCCGCUGGACGACUCGGUGUACAACUCCACCGACUUCUCCUCCUACGCCCUCAGCACCAUCGCGCGCCACAGCUUCGGCCACGACGCCUCCGUCCUCAGCCAUCCAGAUGCAGGAGAUGAGUUCAACCGGUACUGGGAGCCGUACAGCGACGGCGCCCCGGUGGUGGAGAGCCAGGGGAGCGUGGCGCCGGCGGCGUUCUGGAACAAGCCACCGGAGGACGUGUUCCGGCGCGGAGUGACUGCCAGCCGCGGGGAUACCCUCGAGCUCCAGUGGCCGCCGGCGCCGCUGCCCAAGGCGAGCUACUACCUGGCGCUCUACUUCCAGGACAACCGGGCGCCGAGCCCGCUCAGCUGGAGGGUCUUCGACGUCGCGGUCAACGGCCAGGCCUUCUUCGCCGGCCUGAAUGUCUCGACGGCGGGGUCAAUGCUGUACGGCGCCGCAUGGCCGCUCUCCGGGCAGACCAAGAUCACGCUGACGCCCGCCCCGGGGUCGCCGGUCGGGCCGGUGAUCAAUGCGGCGGAGCUCAUGAUGGUUGUUCCGCUCGGAGGGAGGACUCAUCCUAGAGAUGUGAUCGGCAUGGAGGGGCUCGCGAGAGGCUUCGCCAAGCCGCCGUCGGACUGGAGCGGCGAUCCUUGCUUGCCCGUCGGGAACUCCUGGACCGGUGUUUCCUGCAGCCAAGGCGCACUUGCUCGAGUAACUGCUCUCAACCUCACCAAUUUCAGUGUUGGAGGGUCCAUAUCUGACAGCAUUGCUAACCUGACUGCAAUCUCGAGCGUCUGGCUUGUGGGGAACAAUCUGACAGGACAAAUUCCAGUUAUGAGCUCUCUGCAUCAUUUGGCAUCUCUGCACCUGGAGGACAACCAGUUGGCAGGGCCGAUUCCUCCGUCACUCGGAGACCUUCCAAGACUUCAGGAACUCUUUGUGCAGAACAACAAUUUACAGGGCAGCAUUCCGAUCGGCCUCAACAGAACGAGCAUUACGUUCAAGUACACACCUGGGAAUAACCUUAACCAACAAUAA
This 1554-nucleotide ribosomal RNA is filed under the name Triticum aestivum (bread wheat). Its description in RNAcentral is "partial small subunit ribosomal RNA". The record is from RNAcentral. Lineage: Eukaryota; Viridiplantae; Streptophyta; Magnoliopsida; Poales; Poaceae.